UCUGCCCCGAUGCGCGUAGCUGACGGAGCAUGCCGCGUGAGUGAUGAAGGUUUUCGGAUCGUAAAGCUCUGUUGCCAGGGAAGAACGCUUGGGAGAGUAACUGCUCUCAAGGUGACGGUACCUGAGAAGAAAGCCCCGGCUAACUACGUGCCAGCAGCCGCGGUAAUACGUAGGGGGCAAGCGUUGUCCGGAAUUAUUGGGCGUAAAGCGCGCGCAGGCGGUCAUUUAAGUCUGGUGUUUAAUCCCGGGGCUCAACCCCGGAUCGCACUGGAAACUGGGUGACUUGAGUGCAGAAGAGGAGAGUGGAAUUCCACGUGUAGCGGUGAAAUGCGUAGAUAUGUGGAGGAACACCAGUGGCGAAGGCGACUCUCUGGGCUGUAACUGACGCUGAGGCGCGAAAGCGUGGGGAGCAAACAGGAUUAGAUACCCGUGUAGUCC
Molecule: ribosomal RNA, 438 nt
Filed under: Paenibacillus sp.
Lineage: Bacteria; Bacillati; Bacillota; Bacilli; Caryophanales; Paenibacillaceae
Description: bacterial SSU rRNA
Rfam family: Bacterial small subunit ribosomal RNA
Source: RNAcentral